CACUAUCGUUAACUGAAUACAUAGGUUAACGAGGCGAACCGGGGGAACUGAAACAUCUAAGUACCCCGAGGAAAAGAAAUCAACCGAGAUUCCCCCAGUAGCGGCGAGCGAACGGGGAGCAGCCCAGAGUCUGAAUCAGCUUGUGUGUUAGUGGAACGGUCUGGAAAGUCCGACGGUACAGGGUGAUAGUCCCGUACACCAAAAUGCACAGGYUGUGAACUCGAAGAGUAGGGCGGGACACGUGGUAUCCUGUCUGAAUAUGGGGGGACCAUCCUCCAAGGCUAAAUACUCCUGACUGACCGAUAGUGAACCAGUACCGUGAGGGAAAGGCGAAAAGAACCCCGGCGAGGGGAGUGAAAAAGAACCUGAAACCGUGUACGUACAAGCAGUGGGAGCACCUUCGGGUGUGACUGCGUACCUUUUGUAUAAUGGGUCAGCGACUUAUAUUCUGUAGCAAGGUUAACCGUAUAGGGGAGCCGCAGGGAAACCGAGUCUUAACUGGGCGUUAAGUUGCAGGGUAUAGACCCGAAACCCGGUGAUCUAGCCAUGGGCAGGUUGAAGGUUGGGUAACACUAACUGGAGGACCGAACCGACUAAUGUUGAAAAAUUAGCGGAUGACUUGUGGCUGGGGGUGAAAGGCCAAUCAAACCGGGAGAUAGCUGGUUCUCCCCGAAAGCUAUUUAGGUAGCGCCUCGUGAAYUCAUCUUCGGGGGUAGAGCACUGUUUCGGCUAGGGGGUCAUCCCGACUUACCAACCCGAUGCAAACUACGAAUACCGAAGAAUGUUAUCACGGGAGACACACGGCGGGUGCUAACGUCCGUCGUGAAGAGGGAAACAACCCAGACCGCCAGCUAAGGUCCCAAAGUCAUGGUUAAGUGGGAAACGAUGUGGGAAGGCACAGACAGCCAGGAUGUUGGCUUAGAAGCAGCCAUCAUUUAAAGAAAGCGUAAUAGCUCACUGGUCGAGUCGGCCUGCGCGGAAGAUGUAACGGGGCUAAACCAUGCACCGAAGCUGCGGCAGCGACACUAUGUGUUGUUGGGUAGGGGAGCGUUCUGUAAGCCUGCGAAGGUGACCUGUGAGGGUUGCUGGAGGUAUCAGAAGUGCGAAUGCUGACAUAAGUAACGAUAAAGCGGGUGAAAAGCCCGCUCGCCGGAAGACCAAGGGUUCCUGUCCAACGUUAAUCGGGGCAGGGUGAGUCGACCCCUAAGGCGAGGCCGAAAGGCGUAGUCGAUGGGAAACAGGUUAAUAUUCCUGUACUUGGUGUUACUGCGAAGGGGGGACGGAGAAGGCUAUGUUAGCCGGGCGACGGUUGUCCCGGUUUAAGCAUGUAGGCUGGUUGUCCAGGCAAAUCCGGAUAAUCAAGGCUGAGGUGUGAUGACGAGGYACUACGGUGCUGAAGUAACAAAUGCCCUGCUUCCAGGAAAAGCCUCUAAGCAUCAGGUAACAUYAAAUCGUACCCCAAACCGACACAGGUGGUCAGGUAGAGAAUACCAAGGCGCUUGAGAGAACUCGGGUGAAGGAACUAGGCAAAAUGGUGCCGUAACUUCGGGAGAAGGCACGCUGGUGUGUAGGUGAAGUCCCUGCGGAUGGAGCUGAGACCAGUCGAAGAUACCAGCUGGCUGCAACUGUUUAUUAAAAACACAGCACUGUGCAAACACGAAAGUGGACGUAUACGGUGUGACGCCUGCCCGGUGCCGGAAGGUUAAUUGAUGGGGUUAUCCGUAAGGAGAAGCUCUUGAUCGAAGCCCCGGUAAACGGCGGCCGUAACUAUAACGGUCCUAAGGUAGCGAAAUUCCUUGUCGGGUAAGUUCCGACCUGCACGAAUGGCGUAAUGAUGGCCAGGCUGUCUCCACCCGAGACUCAGUGAAAUUGAACUCGCUGUGAAGAUGCAGUGUACCCGCGGCAAGACGGAAAGACCCCGUGAACCUUUACUAUAGCUUGACACUGAACAUUGAGCCUUGAUGUGUAGGAUAGGUGGGAGGCUUUGAAGCGUGGACGCCAGUCUGCGUGGAGCCAACCUUGAAAUACCACCCUUUAAUGUUUGAUGUUCUAACGUUGGCCCCUGACCGGGGUUGCGGACAGUGUCUGGUGGGUAGUUUGACUGGGGCGGUCUCCUCCCAAAGCGUAACGGAGGAGCACGAAGGUUAGCUAAUCCUGGUCGGACAUCAGGAGGUUAGUGCAAUGGCAUAAGCUAGCUUGACUGCGAGCGUGACGGCGCGAGCAGGUGCGAAAGCAGGUCAUAGUGAUCCGGUGGUUCUGAAUGGAAGGGCCAUCGCUCAACGGAUAAAAGGUACUCCGGGGAUAACAGGCUGAUACCGCCCAAGAGUUCAUAUCGACGGCGGUGUUUGGCACCUCGAUGUCGGCUCAUCACAUCCUGGGGCUGAAGUAGGUCCCAAGGGUAUGGCUGUUCGCCAUUUAAAGUGGUACGCGAGCUGGGUUUAGAACGUCGUGAGACAGUUCGGUCCCUAUCUGCCGUGGGCGCUGGAGAAUUGAGGGGGGCUGCUCCUAGUACGAGAGGACCGGAGUGGACGCAUCACUGGUGUUCGGGUUGUCAUGCCAAUGGCACUGCCCGGUAGCUAAAUGCGGAAGAGAUAAGUGCUGAAAGCAUCUAAGCACGAAACUUGCCCCGAGAUGAGUUCUCCCUGAGACUUUAAGUCUCCUGAAGGAACGUU
This 2672-nucleotide ribosomal RNA is filed under the name Klebsiella pneumoniae. RNAcentral's name for it is "partial 23S ribosomal RNA". The record is from RNAcentral. Lineage: Bacteria; Pseudomonadati; Pseudomonadota; Gammaproteobacteria; Enterobacterales; Enterobacteriaceae.